GAUGAACGCUAGCUACAGGCUUAACACAUGCAAGUCGAGGGGCAGCAUGACCUAGCAAUAGGUUGAUGGCGACCGGCGCACGGGUGAGUAACACGUAUCCAACCUGCCGAUUAUUCCGGGAUAGCCUUUCGAAAGAAAGAUUAAUACUGGAUAGCAUAACGAGAAGGCAUCUUCUUGUUAUUAAAGAAUUUCGAUAAUCGAUGGGGAUGCGUUCCAUUAGUUUGUUGGCGGGGUAACGGCCCACCAAGACAUCGAUGGAUAGGGGUUCUGAGAGGAAGGUCCCCCACAUUGGAACUGAGACACGGUCCAAACUCCUACGGGAGGCAGCAGUGAGGAAUAUUGGUCAAUGGACGAGAGUCUGAACCAGCCAAGUAGCGUGAAGGAUGACUGCCCUAUGGGUUGUAAACUUCUUUUAUAUGGGAAUAAAGUGGGCCACGUGUGGCUUUUUGUAUGUACCAUACGAAUAAGGAUCGGCCAACUCCGUG
This 485-nucleotide ribosomal RNA is filed under the name uncultured bacterium. RNAcentral's name for it is "partial 16S ribosomal RNA". It matches the Rfam family "Bacterial small subunit ribosomal RNA", at positions 28 to 507 of the family's 1533-position model. The record is from RNAcentral.